RNAcentral lists this transfer RNA (71 nucleotides) under Loxodonta africana (African savanna elephant). It matches the Rfam family "tRNA". From Rfam's summary of the family: Transfer RNA (tRNA) molecules are approximately 80 nucleotides in length. Their secondary structure includes four short double-helical elements and three loops (D, anti-codon, and T loops). The record is from Rfam by way of RNAcentral. Lineage: Eukaryota; Metazoa; Chordata; Mammalia; Proboscidea; Elephantidae.
AGGUUGGUGGUUCAUUAGUAGAAUUCUUGUCUUCUGCACAGGAGAUCCUGGUUUGAUUCCCAGCCAAUAUA